Molecule: long non-coding RNA, 1089 nt
Organism: Papaver somniferum (opium poppy)
Lineage: Eukaryota; Viridiplantae; Streptophyta; Magnoliopsida; Ranunculales; Papaveraceae
Exons: 3
Source: RefSeq, a predicted model, not a curated record
AGAACAUACCGCUGAACAUGCAGAAUUGGGACCAAUCGGAGAUAUUUUAGCUUCAUCAUGAGGUGUGAACUCAUCAGUUUUAGUAAUACAACAACAUGACGGGUAUAGCUUCAUCAAGAGGUGUGAACUCAUCAGUUUUAGUAAAACCCGAUAUUUCCACAUUCAACAUUUUGAUUAACUGUUGUUGUAAACUAGUCCAAGUGAAUCACGGUUCUGUUUGCUUGGAGAGAUUAUUAAGAGAGGUCAUCAGCCUAAUGUUAUCACUUUCACUACAUUGAUUAAUGGGUUGUGUGUUCAAGAAAAGAUUGACUUUGCAUUCAAGGUGUUCGAGAAAAUGAUCGAGACAGGUGUUCUACCUAACUCCUUCACAUGUAAUACUCUAUACACGGGCUUUGCAGAACUGGUCGCUUGAAUGAGGCCAAGAGAUUCCUUGAAGAGAUGGGCAAUAGAGUAAUCUCUGCAGAUGCAAAGACUUAUAAUUCUAUCAUUCAUGGUUACUGCUUACAUGGUCAAUGGAAAGAAGCGAGAAGAUAUUUUGAUCAAAUGAUGGAUCGAGGGAUUAUAUGGCUAAGGGUUUGAACAAUAUCCAUAUAAUCUGAAGAAUAAAGAUAGAUGAACAUGUCUUGGCCAUGGGUUGCAGCGUUAAGUAGUUAAUCUUUUUAAAAAAUGACAGCGGAAGAUAAACGACUUGAUUCAAUGGCAGACUGCAAAUUUCAGGGCACUGAAAUCAACUUAAAAAUGGGGUACAACGAAGAGGGCGGAGAGGGAGCUUUAUCUGGUAGAAAUGAUUAGGAAAUUGUCACAUGCUGUUUCUCCUGGUCGAACAAGGUUGGAUGUCAACUAUGGUGUACGAGCAAUGAUGUUGGUGGUGAUGAAAGUGAAAUCUCUACUACAAUGUUCAUGUCUUGACACACUUCAUUUUCCAACCCAGCUAUGCCAGUAAAGCCUGAUCGCAGUGCAAUGACAUUCAGGAUUGUUUGAAUCACAAUAAAGUGUCUCUACUGGGUGUGGAGGAAGGUGAGAAUCUGACAAGUUUGAUUGAAGUAGCUGGAAUCUCAAAUGAUAAUUGGAAGUACCAGAUCCAGAAGA